RNAcentral lists this transfer RNA (66 nucleotides) under Chagasia sp. 1 SJ-2020. RNAcentral describes it as "tRNA-Cys". Lineage: Eukaryota; Metazoa; Arthropoda; Insecta; Diptera; Culicidae. The record is from RNAcentral.
AACUUUAUAGUCAUUAAUGAUGUUAGACUGCAAUUCUAAAGGAAUAAUUAAAAAUUAUUAAAGUUU